RNAcentral lists this ribosomal RNA (253 nucleotides) under uncultured bacterium. RNAcentral's name for it is "partial 16S ribosomal RNA". It matches the Rfam family "Bacterial small subunit ribosomal RNA", at positions 524 to 776 of the family's 1533-position model. The record is from RNAcentral.
UACGUAGGUGGCAAGCGUUAUCCGGAAUUAUUGGGCGUAAAGAGCGCGCAGGUGGUUAAUUAAGUCUGAUGUGAAAGCCCACGGCUUAACCGUGGAGGGUCAUUGGAAACUGGUUGACUUGAGUGCAGAAGAGGGAAGUGGAAUUCCAUGUGUAGCGGUGAAAUGCGUAGAGAUAUGGAGGAACACCAGUGGCGAAGGCGGUUUCCUGGUCUGCAACUGACACUGAGGCGCGAAAGCGUGGGGAGCAAACAGG